GUCAGUGUCGUCUAGUGGUUAGGACGCGAGCUUCACACGCCGAGAUCGAGGGUUCGAUCCCUCCUCUGAUA
This 71-nucleotide transfer RNA is filed under the name Phytophthora infestans (potato late blight agent). RNAcentral's name for it is "tRNA-Val". It matches the Rfam family "tRNA". Rfam says of the family: Transfer RNA (tRNA) molecules are approximately 80 nucleotides in length. Their secondary structure includes four short double-helical elements and three loops (D, anti-codon, and T loops). Further hydrogen bonds mediate the characteristic L-shaped molecular structure. tRNAs have two regions of fundamental functional importance: the anti-codon, which is responsible for specific mRNA codon recognition, and the 3' end, to which the tRNAs corresponding amino acid is attached (by aminoacyl-tRNA synthetases). tRNAs cope with the degeneracy of the genetic code in two manners: having more than one tRNA (with a specific anti-codon) for a particular amino acid; and 'wobble' base-pairing, i.e. permitting non-standard base-pairing at the 3rd anti-codon position. The record is from RNAcentral. Lineage: Eukaryota; Oomycota; Peronosporomycetes; Peronosporales; Peronosporaceae.